ACUGUUGGGGCCAGAGUCUGAGAGAAGUACAGUAAUGGAGCUCAACUUUUAAUUGUUUACCAAGUAAGCGUAAACUACUGCAUGCAAAGUCAUUCAUUCCAUGCACAAUUCAUUUAACCAGGAGCCAGGAUGAGCGUUCACGUACAUGCUAAACAGGGCCGCCGCUGGCCAAAUCGAUGCCCAACGCAGAGUUCCAGGUGAAGCGAUCAUCUGUGUUCCGCAACUGCUUGAAUCACGUUUAACGUGCGAGUAAGGGCAGCCGGUGGACUUUCUGGUACCUCCUAUGUUUUUUGGAUUUUCUCCCCAAUUUGGAACGCCCACUUUGCUCCAAAUCCGAGACAUAUCCAGCUGCAGACCCGCAGCACCACCAGUUUCAGAACCCCAGCGCCAGAACCUGAAGUGAGGGGCGGAGUUUUGACAAUGAGACAAGCAUGGCGGAGAGCAUGAGACAUUUAGAAUGAAUGAAGACCACAAGGAAAAGGCCCGCAACAAUCUCCUGGAACAGUCAGAAGCUUCCAGAGAGCCCUUUCUAUUUCAUUUUGUGUUCAAGGAUGACAUGGAGUUAUUUUAGCAAGAAUGUAAGGACAAAAUGGGCCUGAGAGUGAAUUCCUCAUUUGAUACAUUUUAAGUUUAAUUUAUACAGGAUUGUCAUGAUAAAAUGGGCCUAGGGGUGAAUUGGUCAUUUGUUGUCCAUCCAUCCAUCCAUCCAUCGUCAACCGCUUAUCCUGUGUACAGGGUCGCGGGGGUCAUUUGUUGUAUAUAUUUUUAUUGUUUCUUUUAAAAUUAUGCUUAAUUUUCUCUCUUUUUUAGUUUUUUGACAUGUUUUAUUUUACAUAAAGAAAAAUGCAUGCUGCACAUGUUCUUGUGAAAUAAAGUAUACUUUAUAUAA
This is a long non-coding RNA of Xyrauchen texanus (razorback sucker), 889 nucleotides long. RefSeq lists it as uncharacterized. The record is from RefSeq and is a predicted model, not a curated record. NCBI's taxonomy places the organism in Eukaryota, Metazoa, Chordata, Actinopteri, Cypriniformes, Catostomidae. The transcript has 3 exons.